This 440-nucleotide ribosomal RNA is filed under the name uncultured bacterium. RNAcentral describes it as "partial 16S ribosomal RNA". It matches the Rfam family "Bacterial small subunit ribosomal RNA", at positions 338 to 795 of the family's 1533-position model. The record is from RNAcentral.
CCUACGGGUGGCUGCAGUGAGGAAUAUUGCACAAUGGACGCAACCCUGAUGCAGCGACGCCGCGUGCAUGCAGACGUCUUUCUGUGUGUACAACUCUAUCAGCAGGAAGGUAAAUCCCGAUACCUGAUUAGGACGCCCCGGCUAACUCCAUGCCAGCAGCCGCAGUAAUACGUAGGGAGCAAGCGUUAUCCGGAUUUACUGGGUGUAAAGGGGGCGUAGACGGUAGCACAAGUCUGGAGUGAAAUGGCGGGGCUUAACCCCGGAACUGCUUUGGAAACUGUGCAGCUAGAGAGUAGGAGCGGUAAGCGGAAUGUAUAGUGUAGCGGUGAAAUGCGUAGAGAUCAGGCGGAACACCAGUGGCGAAGGCGGCUUACCGGACUGUAACUGACGUUGAGGCACGAAAGCGUGGGGAGCAAACAGGAUUAGAUACCCUGGUAGUC